UACGAAGGGGGCUAGCGUUGCUCGGAAUCACUGGGCGUAAAGGGUGCGUAGGCGGGUCUUUAAGUCAGGGGUGAAAUCCUGGAGCUCAACUCCAGAACUGCCUUUGAUACUGAAGAUCUUGAGUUCGGGAGAGGUGAGUGGAACUGCGAGUGUAGAGGUGAAAUUCGUAGAUAUUCGGAAGAACACCAGUGGCGAAGGCGACACACUGGCCCAAUACUGACGCUGAGGCGCGAAAGCGUGGGGAGCAAACAGG
This 253-nucleotide ribosomal RNA is filed under the name uncultured bacterium. RNAcentral's name for it is "partial 16S ribosomal RNA". It matches the Rfam family "Bacterial small subunit ribosomal RNA", at positions 524 to 776 of the family's 1533-position model. The record is from RNAcentral.